GUAGCUCUGCACAGGACAGGGUGGAGAGGAGCCUGGAGAUCAAGAUGAAGGGAGAAGGCCGGACGAUGAGAGGGGAGUGAACCCUGGGCGUAAUGGUUCCACACCAAGAGAAGUUCUGAAGGUCAAGGUCCAGAAGCCAAGAUUCAGCUGGGCAGGCUGCAUCUCUACAAGGCAGCCUCAGAUGUUCAUUGUCAAAUGGAUGAACUGGGAAGAGAGAGAGAGAGAUGAGGGGUCGUUGUCCUUCCAUGUCCCUUCCAGCCUCAGCCUCAGGAGUGGCCCCAGUUUGCUGAUAUCACAGGAGAUCUGCUAUUUGAUCAUUUUGCCUGCCAACUUGGAUGUCUGUCUCAGCAGGAAACCAUUUAAAGAAAAUAAAUGAAUUCUCAGCACUUGACAUUUUCUGGAGGACCUGAGUCCUUUCCAAGUGAGCUCAUAUCAAGCACAGUUGCUAGAUGUCAGCCCUUGCAUGAAAUCAAGCAUUCGGCAAACAUCUAUGCAGCGUGGACUCUGCUGGGCCCCAGCUGGGUCCCUGAGCAGAGGGUCUGGAUUGGCCAUACCUCAUUUAUAUUGAGAUGAAUGAACUCCUUGUUCUUUGUACUGAGAGCCUGGAACACCCCUGAUAGGAGAGAAGGGGGAAAGGCAUCCUUUUAAAGACAAUUCCUUUACCAAGUUUGUUUCCCAGCGACCAAAGGGCCUUCCAGUGGAGCCUGUGGGGAAGCUGCUCCAUCUGGUGGUAAACAAGGACUUUCAUCAAGGGCGGCGAUGGGACUCUCAUCAAGGGCGGGCUGAAGGUGAACUUCUCUGAACGGAUGGAGGCAUCCAGUCCUGUAGCAAGCCAGUGGUCACCUAAGCCAGUCAGCCGGCCAGCAGCUCCUGGAGCCAAAGCAACGCCCCUAUCUUAACCUUCUGGGGGGUACAGGGCCCUUGAAAUCCAUAGGCCCCAGAAAAAAAGCACACGCACGUAAAGUUUUGCAUGAAUCUGAAAGUUGUUAGUCUCGCCCUUGUAGGAAGGUGCCGUGGGUGCUGUCAGAGGACAGAGUGGCACAGGAGAGCGUGCCAGCACUGAGCUGGGGGCUGGGUCUACCGCAUGGUGUAGUGACCUGAGUGCACCUGAGCAAGUCACUGCCCUCUUGGGGCCUCAGCCUCCUCACCUUCAGAAGACGAGGUCGAGCCAAUCAGCCCUGGCUUCACUUGAGAAUCUCUCGGGUAGCUUUAAUAAUACAACCCAAAGCGGGGUGGGGGACCAUCACUGGACACAAGAAAUGGAAGAGACCCAACAACCAAACAUGGUGACUGGGUCUUGUGUGGAUCCUGAGUCAACCAAGCAACUGUAAAAAGGUGGCCUGGAAGACUUGGGCAUGAACCGGGCACUAGAGAAUGUUGAGGGUUUGCUGAGAAUUUCGUUAGGUGUGCAAAUGGUAUGAAGAUGAUGCUAAAAACAAGUCUAUCAGCUGGAGAUACUCAGAUGAAUGGACAGAGUUUCUGAGAUCUGCUAUUAAAUUAUUUAGGGGGAAAAUGUAUGUGUUGCGGGAGCACAAGGGAAAAGUUAGCAAGAUGGUAAUUGUUGAGGUUGGGUGUAAAGGUCUGGAAACACCUGGCGAAUUUGCGUAACUCCCAAUGCUGUGUGCCACCCCUGAGAUUCUAACAGAAUUGGUCAACUGUGCAGCCUGGUCAUCAGCAUUUCUUUAGGCACCCCUGGAGAUUGUAAUGUACAGCGAAGUUUGAGAAGUGCUGAUGUGGAGUGCAUGGGAACCUAUUAUGAUUCUUUAUAUCUAACUGGAGGGUUGACAUUCUUACAAUAAAAAGUUAAAAUAAUACUGCAGCAAAGCUCCAUCCUUGGUAAUUCUAAAAGUUC
Molecule: long non-coding RNA, 1852 nt
Filed under: Homo sapiens (human)
Lineage: Eukaryota; Metazoa; Chordata; Mammalia; Primates; Hominidae
Description: non-protein coding lnc-AGT-6:10
Source: RNAcentral